GUGAGGAAUUUUCCGCAAUGGGCGAAAGCCUGACGGAGCAAUGCCGCGUGAAGGAUGAAGGCCUAUGGGUUGUAAACUUCUUUUCUCAGAAAAGAAUUAUGACGGUAUCUGAGGAAUAAGCAUCGGCUAACUCUGUGCCAGCAGCCGCGGUAAGACAGAGGAUGCAAGCGUUAUCCGGAAUGAUUGGGCGUAAAGCGUCUGUAGGUUGUUUAAAAAGUAUUCUGUCAAAGAUUAGGGCUUAACCCUAGAUAGGCAGAAUAAACUUUUAAGCUAGAGUGUGGUAGAGGCAGAGGGAAUUCCCGGUGGAGCGGUGAAAUGCGUAGAUAUCGGGAGGAACACCAAAGGCGAAGGCACUCUGCUGGGCCAAUACUAACACUGAGAGACGAAAGCGAGGGGAGCAAAUGGGAUUAGAAACCCCGGUAGUCC
This 426-nucleotide ribosomal RNA is filed under the name uncultured bacterium. RNAcentral describes it as "bacterial SSU rRNA". It matches the Rfam family "Bacterial small subunit ribosomal RNA", at positions 354 to 796 of the family's 1533-position model. The record is from RNAcentral.